Molecule: ribosomal RNA, 497 nt
Filed under: uncultured bacterium
Lineage: Bacteria
Description: partial 16S ribosomal RNA
Rfam family: Bacterial small subunit ribosomal RNA
Source: RNAcentral
GAUGAACGCUGGCGGCGUGCCUAAUACAUGCAAGUCGAGCGAACGGACGAGAAGCUUGCUUCUCUGAUGUUAGCGGCGGACGGGUGAGUAACACGUGGAUAACCUACCUAUAAGACUGGGAUAACUUCGGGAAACCGUAGCUAAUACCGGAUAAUAUUUUGAACCGCAUGGUUCAAAAGUGAAAGACGGUCUUGCUGUCACUUAUAGAUGGAUCCGCGCUGCAUUAGCUAGUUGGUAAGGUAACGGCUUACCAAGGCAACGAUGCAUAGCCGACCUGAGAGGGUGAUCGGCCACACUGGGACUGAGACACGGUCCAGACUCCUACGGGAGGCAGCAGUAGGAAAUCUUCCGCAAUGGGCGAAAGCCUGACGGAGCAACGCCGCGUGAGUGAUGAAGGUCUUCGGAUCGUAAAACUCUGUUAUUAGGGAAGAACAUAUGUGUAAGUAACUGUGCACAUCUUGACGGUACCUAAUCAGAAAGCCACGGCUAACUACGUG